RNAcentral lists this transfer RNA (72 nucleotides) under Prunus dulcis (almond). RNAcentral describes it as "tRNA-Thr". The record is from RNAcentral. Lineage: Eukaryota; Viridiplantae; Streptophyta; Magnoliopsida; Rosales; Rosaceae.
ACUACGCGGGAAUCUGUCGAUAUAUCCGAUUAAAUCCUCUUGUUCCUAGAUGUUCUAUAGGAAAGGAAUAAA